GACGAACGCUGGCGGCGUGCUUAACACAUGCAAGUCGAACGAUGAAGCCUUUCGGGGUGGAUUAGUGGCGAACGGGUGAGUAACACGUGGGUAAUCUGCCCUGCACUCUGGGAUAAGCCCGGGAAACUGGGUCUAAUACCGGAUAUGACUUUCUUACGCAUGUAGGAAGGUGGAAAGUUCCGGCGGUGCAGGAUGAACCCGCGGCCUAUCAGCUUGUUGGUGGGGUAAUGGCCUACCAAGGCGACGACGGGUAGCCGGCCUGAGAGGGCGACCGGUCACACUGGGACUGAGACACGGCCCAGACUCCUACGGGAGGCAGCAGGUGGGAAUAUUGCACAAUGGGCGAAAGCCUGAUGCAGCGACGCCGCGUGAGGGAUGACGG
Molecule: ribosomal RNA, 382 nt
Filed under: uncultured bacterium
Lineage: Bacteria
Description: bacterial SSU rRNA
Rfam family: Bacterial small subunit ribosomal RNA
Source: RNAcentral